GGGAAGAGCUCAAAUUUGAAAUCUGGCGUCCUCAGGGCGUCCGAGUUGUAAUCUAUAGAGGCGUUUUCCGUGCCGGACCGUGUCCAAGUUCCUUGGAACAGGAUAUCAAAGAGGGUGACAAUCCCGUACUUGACACGACGACCGGUGCUCUGUGAUACGUCUUCUACGAGUCGAGUUGUUUGGGAAUGCAGCUCAAAAUGGGUGGUGAGUUCCAUCUAAAGCUAAAUAUUGGCGAGAGACCGAUAGCGAACAAGUACCGUGAGGGAAAGAUGAAAAGCACUUUGGAAAGAGAGUUAAACAGUACGUGAAAUUGUUGAAAGGGAAACGAUUGAAGUCAGUCGUGACCGAGAGGCUCAGCCGGUUCUGCCGGUGUAUUCCCCUCGGUCGGGUCAACAUCAGUUUUGUCCGGUGGAUAAGGGCGGUAGGAAGGUGGCACCCUCGGGUGUGUUAUAGCCUGCCGUCGCAUACAUCGGGUGAGACUGAGGAACGCAGCUCGCCUUUAUGGCCGGGGUUCGCCCACGUCCGAGCUUAGGAUGUUGACAUAAUGGCUUUAAACGACCCGUCUUGAAA
Molecule: ribosomal RNA, 570 nt
Filed under: Papiliotrema laurentii
Lineage: Eukaryota; Fungi; Basidiomycota; Tremellomycetes; Tremellales; Rhynchogastremaceae
Description: partial large subunit ribosomal RNA
Rfam family: Eukaryotic large subunit ribosomal RNA
Source: RNAcentral